GGUCAGCGACUUAUAUUCUGUAGCAAGGUUAACCGAAUAGGGGAGCCGAAGGGAAACCGAGUCUUAACCGGGCGUUAAGUUGCAGGGUAUAGACCCGAAACCCGGUGAUCUAGCCAUGGGCAGGUUGAAGGUUGGGUAACACUAACUGGAGGACCGAACCGACUAAUGUUGAAAAAUUAGCGGAUGACUUGUGGCUGGGGGUGAAAGGCCAAUCAAACCGGGAGAUAGCUGGUUCUCCCCGAAAGCUAUUUAGGUAGCGCCUCGUGAAUUCAUCUCCGGGGGUAGAGCACUGUUUCGGCAAGGGGGUCAUCCCGACUUACCAACCCGAUGCAAACUGCGAAUACCGGAGAAUGUUAUCACGGGAGACACACGGCGGGUGCUAACGUCCGUCGUGAAGAGGGAAACAACCCAGACCGCCAGCUAAGGUCCCAAAGUCAUGGUUAAGUGGGAAACGAUGUGGGAAGGCCCAGACAGCCAGGAUGUUGGCUUAGAAGCAGCCAUCAUUUAAAGAAAGCGUAAUAGCUCACUGGUCGAGUCGGCCUGCGCGGAAGAUGUAACGGGGCUAAACCAUGCACCGAAGCUGCGGCAGCGACACUGUGUGUUGUUGGGUAGGGGAGCGUUCUGUAAGCCUGUGAAGGUGUGCUGUGAGGCAUGCUGGAGGUAUCAGAAGUGCGAAUGCUGACAUAAGUAACGAUAAAGCGGGUGAAAAGCCCGCUCGCCGGAAGACCAAGGGUUCCUGUCCAACGUUAAUCGGGGCAGGGUGAGUCGACCCCUAAGGCGAGGCCGAAAGGCGUAGUCGAUGGGAAACAGGUUAAUAUUCCUGUACUUGGUGUUACUGCGAAGGGGGGACGGAGAAGGCUAUGUUGGCCGGGCGACGGUUGUCCCGGUUUAAGCGUGUAGGCUGGUUUUCCAGGCAAAUCCGGAAAAUCAAGGCUGAGGCGUGAUGACGAGGCACUACGGUGCUGAAGCAACAAAUGCCCUGCUUCCAGGAAAAGCCUCUAAGCAUCAGGUAACAUCAAAUCGUACCCCAAACCGACACAGGUGGUCAGGUAGAGAAUACCAAGGCGCUUGAGAGAACUCGGGUGAAGGAACUAGGCAAAAUGGUGCCGUAACUUCGGGAGAAGGCACGCUGAUAUGUAGGUGAAGUCCCUCGCGGAUGGAGCUGAAAUCAGUCGAAGAUACCAGCUGGCUGCAACUGUUUAUUAAAAACACAGCACUGUGCAAACACGAAAGUGGACGUAUACGGUGUGACGCCUGCCCGGUGCCGGAAGGUUAAUUGAUGGGGUCAGCGCAAGCGAAGCUCUUGAUCGAAGCCCCGGUAAACGGCGGCCGUAACUAUAACGGUCCUAAGGUAGCGAAAUUCCUUGUCGGGUAAGUUCCGACCUGCACGAAUGGCGUAAUGAUGGCCAGGCUGUCUCCACCCGAGACUCAGUGAAAUUGAACUCGCUGUGAAGAUGCAGUGUACCCGCGGCAAGACGGAAAGACCCCGUGAACCUUUACUAUAGCUUGACACUGAACAUUGAGCCUUGAUGUGUAGGAUAGGUGGGAGGCUUUGAAGUGUGGACGCCAGUCUGCAUGGAGCCGACCUUGAAAUACCACCCUUUAAUGUUUGAUGUUCUAACGUGGACCCGUGAUCCGGGUUGCGGACAGUGUCUGGUGGGUAGUUUGACUGGGGCGGUCUCCUCCUAAAGAGUAACGGAGGAGCACGAAGGUUGGCUAAUCCUGGUCGGACAUCAGGAGGUUAGUGCAAUGGCAUAAGCCAGCUUGACUGCGAGCGUGACGGCGCGAGCAGGUGCGAAAGCAGGUCAUAGUGAUCCGGUGGUUCUGAAUGGAAGGGCCAUCGCUCAACGGAUAAAAGGUACUCCGGGGAUAACAGGCUGAUACCGCCCAAGAGUUCAUAUCGACGGCGGUGUUUGGCACCUCGAUGUCGGCUCAUCACAUCCUGGGGCUGAAGUAGGUCCCAAGGGUAUGGCUGUUCGCCAUUUAAAGUGGUACGCGAGCUGGGUUUAGAACGUCGUGAGACAGUUCGGUCCCUAUCUGCCGUGGGCGCUGGAGAACUGAGGGGGGCUGCUCCUAGUACGAGAGGACCGGAGUGGACGCAUCACUGGUGUUCGGGUUGUCAUGCCAAUGGCACUGCCCGGUAGCUAAAUGCGGAAGAGAUAAGUGCUGAAAGCAUCUAAGCACGAAACUUGCCCCGAGAUGAGUUCUCCCUGACCCUUUAAGGGUCCUGAAGGAACGUUGAAGACGACGACGUUGAUAGGCCGGGUGUGUAAGCGCAGCGAUGCGUUGAGCUAACCGGUACUAAUGAACCGUGAGGCUUAACCUUACAACGCCGAAGGUGUUU
This 2344-nucleotide ribosomal RNA is filed under the name Escherichia coli. RNAcentral's name for it is "partial 23S ribosomal RNA". It matches the Rfam family "Bacterial large subunit ribosomal RNA", at positions 618 to 2925 of the family's 2925-position model. The record is from RNAcentral. Lineage: Bacteria; Pseudomonadati; Pseudomonadota; Gammaproteobacteria; Enterobacterales; Enterobacteriaceae.